GAUGAACGCUGGCGGCGUGCCUAAUACAUGCAAGUCGAGCGAACAGACGAGGAGCUUGCUCCUCUGACGUUAGCGGCGGACGGGUGAGUAACACGUGGAUAACCUACCUAUAAGACUGGGAUAACUUCGGGUAACCGGAGCUAAUACCGGAUAAUAUAUUGAACCGCAUGGUUCAAUAGUGAAAGACGGUUUUGCUGUCACUUAUAGAUGGAUCCGCGCCGCAUUAGCUAGUUGGUAAGGUAACGGCUUACCAAGGCAACGAUGCGUAGCCGACCUGUGAGGGUGAUCGGCCACACUGGAACUGAGACACGGUCCAGACUCCUACGGGAGGCAGCAGUAGGGAAUCUUCCGCAAUGGGCGAAAGCCUGACGGAGCAACGCCGCGUGAGUGAUGAAGGUCUUCGGAUCGUAAAACUCUGUUAUUAGGGAAGAACAAAUGUGUAAGUAACUAUGCACGUCUUGACGGUACCUAAUCAGAAAGCCACGGCUAACUACGUG
This 497-nucleotide ribosomal RNA is filed under the name uncultured bacterium. Its description in RNAcentral is "partial 16S ribosomal RNA". It matches the Rfam family "Bacterial small subunit ribosomal RNA", at positions 28 to 507 of the family's 1533-position model. The record is from RNAcentral.